GACGAACGCUGGCGGCGUGCUUAACACAUGCCAGUCGAACGGAAAGGCCCUGCUUUUGUGGGGUGCUCGAGUGGCGAACGGGUGAGUAACACGUGAGUAACCUGCCCUUGACUUUGGGAUAACUUCAGGAAACUGGCGCUAAUACCGGAUAGGAGCUCCUGCUGCAUGGUGGGGGUUGGAAAGUUUCGGCGGUUGGGGAUGGACUCGCGGCUUAUCAGCUUGUUGGUGGGGUAGUGGCUUACCAAGGCUUUGACGGGUAGCCGGCCUGAGAGGGUGACCGGCCACAUUGGGACUGAGAUACGGCCCAGACUCCUACGGGAGGCAGCAGUGGGGAAUAUUGCACAAUGGGCGGAAGCCUGAUGCAGCAACGCCGCGUGCGGGAUGACGGCCUUCGGGUUGUAAACCGCUUUCGCCUGUGACGAAGCGUGAGUGACGGUAAUGGGUAAAGAAGCACCGGCUAACUACGUGC
This 469-nucleotide ribosomal RNA is filed under the name uncultured bacterium. Its description in RNAcentral is "partial 16S ribosomal RNA". It matches the Rfam family "Bacterial small subunit ribosomal RNA", at positions 28 to 508 of the family's 1533-position model. The record is from RNAcentral.